UGUACACCCCGUUCCAAGGAAACCGGAGGGGCCUCCUCCCCCCUGCCCUGCCGACCUCUUUGCCGAAAUUGUCCAAUGCGCGUGGCGGGCUGGAUUUCCGCGUUCUGUACUCCUCUUCCCCUUCCAUGUGACCCGACCACCCUCCCUCCUCUCGCUCCUCUUCCUCACACCGCGCCACCACCCUCCCCACCUCUCCUCGCCUCCCAAAAAAAGGGACCGCACCAAAAGGGGAGGGGCGGAGACCACCCGCCUGCACACCGGGUUCGGCGUGGCGGCCUGACGGGGUAGGAGAUGUCUUCGCGGUCGUCGGGGUCCGUGGGCAGCGGCGGCGGGAGCAGCGCGGGGGGCUCGGCCGUGCCGCUGGCCGUGCUGCUGCGGCGGGAGGUGAUCAGCGAGCGCACCGCGUCGGAGCGGCCGGAGCUGCAGACGGGGCUCUUCAGCCAGGCCAAGAAAGGCGAGGACUUCACCUUUCUCAAGCCCGAAUGCGAGCGCCUCCCGGGCGUCCCGUCCUCCUCCUUCUCCGCCUUCGGCCUGUUUGAUGGGCAUAAUGGGAAUGGAGCCGCAAUUUAUACCAAGGAGGAACUCUUGAACAACGUCUUGAGCGCAGUCCCUGCUGAUCUCAACAGGGAAGACUGGCUUGCUGCGCUUCCAAGAGCAUUGGUUGCAGCAUUUGUCAAAACUGACAAAGAUUUCCAGACAAAAGCACGUUCUUCAGGGACAACUGUGACAUUCGUCAUAAUAGAUGGAUUGGUUGUUACUGUUGCAUCGGUUGGUGAUUCCCGUUGUGUACUAGAAGCUGAAGGUUCAAUUUAUCAUUUAUCUUCUGAUCAUCGAUUUGAUGCAAGUAAAGAGGAGGUUGAUCGUGUAACAGAAAGUGGAGGUGAUGUUGGAAGGCUAAAUGUUGUUGGUGGUGCUGAGAUUGGCCCCCUUAGAUGUUGGCCUGGUGGUUUGUGCCUAUCAAGAUCAAUUGGAGAUCAAGAUGUUGGUGAAUUUAUCGUUCCAGUUCCUUUCGUCAAGCAAGUGAAGCUGUCUACUGCGGGAGGUCGACUUAUUAUUGCAAGUGAUGGUGUUUGGGAUGCCUUGUCUGCAGAAGCGGCUUUUAACUGUUCACGAGAACUUCCUCCGGAGCCUGCAGCUGAGCAAAUUGUUAAAACAGCUGUGCAAUCAAAAGGACUGAGAGAUGAUACCACUUGUAUUGUCGUUGACAUAAUACCAGAAAAAGUGAACCCUUCCAUGUCACUUCCUAAAAAGCAACCGGGAAUUGGUGUCUUCAAAAAUAUGUUCCGCAAGAAAACAUCAUCUGACUCAUCGUCCCAUGCAGAUAGAGAAUAUAUGGACCAAGACAUUGUGGAGGAAAUGUUUGAGGAUGGAUGUGCACUUCUUUCUAGACGAUUGGAUUCUGAAUAUCCUGUUCGGAAUAUGUUCAAGCUCUUCGUAUGUGCCAUUUGUCAAGUAGAGUUGAAACCAAACCAAGGGAUAUCAGUACAUGAAGAUUCAUCACAACCUGGGAGCUUGCGUCGCUGGGAUGGUCCAUUCCUUUGCCAUAGCUGUCAGGAAAAGAAAGAAGCGAUGGAGGGAAAGCGUCGUUCGCGAGAUUCUUCAUCGAGAAACAGUGGGUCAAGUGAAUAGUUGUCAUGGGUAGAAUUAUCAGGAAUCAACUGACCAACAACACCCCAGCGCCAUCGAUUUUGCUGCAUUUAUGUUGUGGCCCUUCCUUGAUCACAUGGAUUGUCUGGGAGUUUUGAUCUAGAACUAGAACGAUGUAUUGCCAUUGAAAAGUUGGCUGCCGUUGAAUACCUCUUAUCACAAGUGAGAAGCAUGCCUUGUCUUGCAGCAAGGAUCUUGCCCAGGAAUGCAGGCAGCUUUUAUCAGCCCAUUGACCUUGAUGGCACAUACAGAUCGAAAUAUCUUCGGGGACAAAAUACCAUGGCAUGUCUAUUCUAAGGUCAAAAUUUCAAUGCAAAUUACUCAUCGUAUAGAGCUCUGACAAAUAGCUACGGCAUUGUGAUUCUAAUCUAGAACUAGCUCAAGGCCUUAUCCACUCAUCCUCUCUCUCAGCCCCUAAUCUCCUCCUCUUGCUCUCUCGUCUCACAGGCUUAUCCUUGCGGCUUGCUUGCAGCGGAGCUUCCAAGUGCGCAAUAACUCCACCUCCAUCGACGGUGAGCAGGGGCCGUCUCAACCGCAAUCCAAGUGUGCGACGCUGCUGAUCGUCCAAGAAAUGGCUACUUGCCAUGGACGGCGGUGCGAGGUCAGCGCCGCCCUAGAAGAGGCCACUUCCGUAAGUCUCAAAGCUUACGUAAGAUGUGGCAGAAUGACCUACUCUCUGAUCUCAGUUGAUUAAUUUUUUCUUGUGUGCUUCGUGUUUCUUUCAAGUUCUUGAUCCAUACAAAUAAAAAAAAAAAAACUGGUUCCAUUCACGUGAUGGAGCCCGGAAGGUGAGCUCGUGGAGGUGUUGUGGCAAAAUGGUAGCGUAUCGCACUCGUAGGCGCAGAUGCACCACCAGGGGCCCUUCGGCCAUGGGUGGAGCAGCGGCAGCGGCAGCAACACAGGUGCGACCGUGCGAGCGACGUCACCCGGGAGGAGGCAGUAGCGUGGGUCCCUGAUGCUAGCGCGCUGGGCGGGGAAAUGUACUUGCAGCUCUGGCUCAUCAUCGUGCAAGUCGACGGACAUGUGGGCAGGGACACGGCCGCGUCCACCAGCUAGCAGUGACAUAGGGUAAAGCCGGACCGGUGGCGGGGGCGGCUGAGCAGUCAUGCAUGGUAGCUCCGGCUCAAUUUGAGCUGGCUUUUUUUUUUAUUGUUGUUUGGAAGUGGUAUUACUUUCGGUUGGCAAUCGGCAGUGAUAGAGCUCAGAUUAUCACCGGCGUUUGCCGUUUUUUUACUGCCGGUUUCAAAACUAAUAUUGACACGAGUUUGUGA
This is an RNA transcript of Phragmites australis (common reed), 2918 nucleotides long. It is a transcript of the gene named probable protein phosphatase 2C 15, with no coding region annotated. The transcript has 10 exons. The record is from RefSeq and is a predicted model, not a curated record. NCBI's taxonomy places the organism in Eukaryota, Viridiplantae, Streptophyta, Magnoliopsida, Poales, Poaceae.